RNAcentral lists this small RNA (2228 nucleotides) under Pan troglodytes (chimpanzee). Its description in RNAcentral is "retained intron". The record is from RNAcentral. Lineage: Eukaryota; Metazoa; Chordata; Mammalia; Primates; Hominidae.
CUGCAUGUGUGUGUCUCAUAGACACUUCAGAUUUACCAAGCCUAAAAUGGAUCUUGUCCUUAGUUUCAUAUCUCACAGUUAAUGCAUCAUCAUCUCACAUUUUCCCCUUUCUGUCAUUAGUCUUCACUUUCCUUACCACUCCAAACUUGUUAUUCCUUAUUCCCGAAUUCUUGAGUUUAUUCCCUUUCUGUAGUAAGUUUGUGCAUUUGUAUCAGCCUCUACUCUAAGACAGAAGAAAUAACCAUCACCUUACUUCUCCGGUCACAAUAUUUACUGGCUUCCUAUUACUUAACUGCAGGAUGAAAUUUAAACCCUAAGCGUGAUUUAUGAGACCCCUUUAUUAUUUCUCCCUUGCCUAUCUCUGUUGCCUCCUGUCUUACCUUUUCUUCAUUAUUCUAUAUAGUCCCCUCCCCAUGGCCCCCACAAGUGACACAUGACUCUUAGCCCAUCCCACAUUUGGUUAUGCCUUUGCCCACACAGUUUCCUGGGGCAGCAGUGUCUUCCUUUUUCUCCCUACCCAUGCAUACAAGCUACCUAAUAAACACUUAUUCCUUCUUCAGAGUGCCAGAUGUCUAUUCUCACCAUCAUGGAUUCUUUGGUGCACCUUUCUGUUUCUAUUGUAUAUUUUACAUAUUAUUUGUCUCAGGACAAUGUAAUUGUUUCCAUCUUUCUCUUCACUAGUAUGAUAUCUUUAUGGGCAGGGACUUACAUUUUUAUUUUUUUUUAUCCCCAGAGUUUAGUAUAAUAUCUGGUACUACGUAUUUAUUAUUUCUCAAUAAAUAUUUGAGAAAGGAAUGAACCUUUCUUUGGUAAUAUGAGUAUUUUUAUUUGCAAAAAAAAAAAGUAAAGUGUGGUAUGCCAUAUUUAGUAGAGAUGUUAAUUCUGAAAUGAUUAUUAUUUAAUGUCCAUUGAACUACUAGUUUUAUAUGACUACUUGAGAACUAAGUAUAGUUAACGGUAUUAAUCAUCAGAUAACAUUGCUGUAUGAACCAUAAGAUUUUGGUAUGUUUUGCAGAUCAAGGAUCUGGAUUUUGCGUAACUGGUAAAAUAGAAGCUGGUUAUAUCCAAACUGGUGACCGACUACUGGCAAUGCCUCCUAAUGAAACUUGUACCGUGAAAGGAAUCACUCUGCAUGAUGAACCUGUCGACUGGGCGGCAGCAGGCGAUCAUGUUAGUCUUACUUUGGUUGGGAUGGAUAUCAUCAAAAUCAAUGUUGGCUGCAUAUUUUGUGGCCCCAAAGUACCCAUUAAAGCUUGCACUCGUUUCAGAGCCCGAAUCCUCAUCUUUAAUAUUGAAAUUCCUAUCACUAAAGGAUUUCCUGUGCUGUUACACUACCAAACUGUCAGUGAACCCGCCGUUAUUAAACGAUUGAUUAGUGUCUUAAACAAAAGCACGGGUGAAGUCACAAAGAAAAAGCCUAAGUUUUUGACUAAAGGCCAGAAUGCAUUGGUAGAGCUACAGACACAAAGACCAAUAGCUCUUGAGCUAUAUAAAGACUUUAAAGAGCUAGGGAGGUUCAUGCUACGUUACGGUGGUUCUACAAUAGCUGCUGGUGUUGUCACUGAGAUAAAAGAAUGAUGGGUCAGAAUUUCUACCGCGUUUCUGGAUACAGUGAAAUAGCUAACCUCUGUUUCAAGAAUGCAGUUAUUAAGUCAAAGGAACAAUGUGCAAUUGAUAUGUUUUUAGAUGAGAGAGAAAAAUUAAAGCUAAAAUUAGCUGCAAAGAAGUAUUAAUAAUCACCUCUGCAAAAAUUCUAAGUUGCCAACUGGCAAAGAAAGUCUAAUGUUAAAAACAACUUUGCCUUUGAAAUGUUAAUAAAUGGAUUUACUUUGCCAAGAUUUAUGGCAAGUGUCAAAAAUAGUAUCUGAAGAUACUGAAUCAUCAUGAAAUGAACUCUACUUCUGGCCAAAGCACAAUGUAUUUGCAGUUUUCUCUUUUGAUUCAAUUAUACUGCACAUGUUUUAAGGAAAAGUAACUUAAUUGGGUUUUUCAGGCAGUUGAUAUUUGACCUAAGCUUUUUUUUUUUUUUUUUUUCCAGUUAACGCUAAGAAAAGAUUUGGGGAAGGUUAUAAUAAAAGUAUUUUGUGGUGACCAUAAGAAUGUCCCUCCCCAAACAAAUAAACUUGUGAAAGUUUAAUUUGGAAUUAGUGGAAGCUGUUCCUUUGAAAGCCAAGAUAUUAUUUAAGUUGUAAAGCCAGCUAAUAAAAUGCCUUAGUUUGAGCAUAAUA